RNAcentral lists this ribosomal RNA (424 nucleotides) under uncultured prokaryote. RNAcentral's name for it is "bacterial SSU rRNA". It matches the Rfam family "Bacterial small subunit ribosomal RNA", at positions 355 to 776 of the family's 1533-position model. The record is from RNAcentral. RNAcentral also lists the same sequence under 1 other name.
UGAGGAAUAUUGGUCAAUGGACGCAAGUCUGAACCAGCCAUGCCGCGUGCAGGAUGACGGCUCUAUGAGUUGUAAACUGCUUUUAUAUGAGGGUAAACUCAGGUACGUGUACCUGACUGAAAGUAUCAUAAGAAUAAGGAUCGGCUAACUCCGUGCCAGCAGCCGCGGUAAUACGGAGGAUCCAAGCGUUAUCCGGAUUUAUUGGGUUUAAAGGGUGCGUAGGCGGCCUGGUAAGUUAGAGGUGAAAUCCCAUCGCUCAACGAUGGACGUGCCUCUGAUACUGUUGGGCUAGCGAGAGAGUGCUGUGGGCGGAAUGUGUAGUGUAGCGGUGAAAUGCUUAGAGAUUACACAGAACACCGAUUGCGAAAGCAGCUCACAAAUUCUUUUCGGACGCUGAGGCACGAAAGCGUGGGGAGCAAACAGG